AUUGAACGCUGGCGGCAGGCCUAACACAUGCAAGUCGAACGGUAGCACAGAGGAGCUUGCUCCUUGGGUGACGAGUGGCGGACGGGUGAGUAAUGUCUGGGAAACUGCCCGAUGGAGGGGGAUAACUACUGGAAACGGUAGCUAAUACCGCAUAACGUCUUCGGACCAAAGUGGGGGACCUUCGGGCCUCACACCAUCGGAUGUGCCCAGAUGGGAUUAGCUAGUAGGUGGGGUAAUGGCUCACCUAGGCGACGCUCCCUAGCUGGGCUGAGAGGAUGACCAGCCACACUAGAACUGAGACACGGUCCAGACUCCUACGGGAGGCAGCAGUGGGGAAUAUUGCACAAUGGGCGCAAGCCUGAUGCAGCCAUGCCGCGUGUAUGAAGAAGGCCUUCGGGUUGUAAAGUACUUUCAGUGGGGAGGAAGGCGUUAAGGUUAAUAACCUUGGCGAUUGACGUUACCCGCAGAAGAAGCACUGGCUAACUCCGUGCCAGCCGCCGCGGUAA
Molecule: ribosomal RNA, 506 nt
Filed under: uncultured bacterium
Lineage: Bacteria
Description: partial 16S ribosomal RNA
Rfam family: Bacterial small subunit ribosomal RNA
Source: RNAcentral